Drosophila virilis is the source of this 484-nucleotide non-coding RNA. NCBI's taxonomy places the organism in Eukaryota, Metazoa, Arthropoda, Insecta, Diptera, Drosophilidae. The record is from RefSeq and is a predicted model, not a curated record.
UCUGUCAAUUUGUGUUCCAAUUUUCAACUAAUCUGAUAAGUUUUUAACAUUUUUGGCAAAAUUCACCCAUUUUAAAGGAAAAUGGACUGCGAUUUUGUGUAAAAAGGAACAAACUUUAUAGAGAUGAAGGUUCGCGUAUUUUCUAUUCGGGCACUCCCGACAAGAGCACUUUUGUUUGCUUUGUAUAUGUUUUGUGAUAUCUAUAUGGAUAAGGAAUAUUCAAAGCAUUUCCAUUGAUUAGAUUCGUUUUAACUGGUUGCUCAAUUAAGACUAGGACAAGAAAUGUAUGGCUCAGCCCAUGACAGCAUGCAACGAUAUGCCAGCGCACGAAUGAAUCAGCAUUCAGCAAAGGUGUCCCCCAGAAGAACACAAUAACUCAAAGUUAUCCAUGAGUCACAAAGUUUAUGCUCAAAACUUCAUUUGUUCUCUUAUGAAUGCGUAAAUAAAUGCAGCUCGCAAAUUUGUGACUGCCUACCAACUCUUA